GCUGGCGUAGCUCAGUGGUAGAGCAGUGCACUCGUAAUGCACAGGUCGAGGGUUCGAGUCCCUCCGCCAGCUCCA
This 75-nucleotide transfer RNA is filed under the name Bacillota bacterium. Its description in RNAcentral is "Firmicutes bacterium (anaerobic digester metagenome) tRNA-Thr". It matches the Rfam family "tRNA". From Rfam's summary of the family: Transfer RNA (tRNA) molecules are approximately 80 nucleotides in length. Their secondary structure includes four short double-helical elements and three loops (D, anti-codon, and T loops). Further hydrogen bonds mediate the characteristic L-shaped molecular structure. tRNAs have two regions of fundamental functional importance: the anti-codon, which is responsible for specific mRNA codon recognition, and the 3' end, to which the tRNAs corresponding amino acid is attached (by aminoacyl-tRNA synthetases). tRNAs cope with the degeneracy of the genetic code in two manners: having more than one tRNA (with a specific anti-codon) for a particular amino acid; and 'wobble' base-pairing, i.e. permitting non-standard base-pairing at the 3rd anti-codon position. The record is from RNAcentral. Lineage: Bacteria; Bacillati; Bacillota.